CGUGGGGAGCGAACAGGAUUAGAUACCCUGGUAGUCCACGCCGUAAACGAUGAGUGCUAAGUGUUAGGGGGUUUCCGCCCCUUAGUGCUGCAGCUAACGCAUUAAGCACUCCGCCUGGGGAGUACGGUCGCAAGACUGAAACUCAAAGGAAUUGACGGGGGCCCGCACAAGCGGUGGAGCAUGUGGUUUAAUUCGAAGCAACGCGAAGAACCUUACCAGGUCUUGACAUCCUCUGACAAUCCUAGAGAUAGGACGUCCCCUUCGGGGGCAGAGUGACAGGUGGUGCAUGGUUGUCGUCAGCUCGUGUCGUGAGAUGUUGGGUUAAGUCCCGCAACGAGCGCAACCCUUGAUCUUAGUUGCCAGCAUUCAGUUGGGCACUCUAAGGUGACUGCCGGUGACAAACCGGAGGAAGGUGGGGAUGACGUCAAAUCAUCAUGCCCCUUAUGACCUGGGCUACACACGUGCUACAAUGGACAGAACAAAGGGCAGCGAAACCGCGAGGUUAAGCCAAUCCCACAAAUCUGUUCUCAGUUCGGAUCGCAGUCUGCAACUCGACUGCGUGAAGCUGGAAUCGGGUAGUAAUCGCGGAUCAGCAUC
This 597-nucleotide ribosomal RNA is filed under the name Bacillus subtilis. RNAcentral's name for it is "bacterial SSU rRNA". It matches the Rfam family "Bacterial small subunit ribosomal RNA", at positions 760 to 1356 of the family's 1533-position model. The record is from RNAcentral. Lineage: Bacteria; Bacillati; Bacillota; Bacilli; Caryophanales; Bacillaceae.